CAGUCGCCGCGGGAAUACGAAGGGUGCAAGCGUUAGUCGGAAUUACUGGGCGUAAAGCGUGCGUAGGCGGUGAGUUAAGUCUGCUGUGAAAUCCCCGGGCUCAACCUGGGAAUGGCAGUGGAUACUGGCUCGCUAGAGUGUGUCAGAGGAUGGUGGAAUUCCCGGUGUAGCGGUGAAAUGCGUAGAGAUCGGGAGGAACAUCAGUGGCGAAGGCGGCCAUCUGGGACAACACUGACGCUGAGGCACGAAAGCGUGGGGAGCAAACAGGAUUAGAUACCCGCGUAGUCCCUGUCUCUUAUAC
Molecule: ribosomal RNA, 301 nt
Filed under: uncultured bacterium
Lineage: Bacteria
Description: partial 16S ribosomal RNA
Rfam family: Bacterial small subunit ribosomal RNA
Source: RNAcentral